Non-coding RNA from Ictidomys tridecemlineatus (thirteen-lined ground squirrel), 3118 nucleotides. The record is from RefSeq and is a predicted model, not a curated record. NCBI's taxonomy places the organism in Eukaryota, Metazoa, Chordata, Mammalia, Rodentia, Sciuridae.
GGGAUGUGAAAGGGCACAACCACUUGGCUAAAUGGUUUGGCCACUUUUCACUAAGCAAAACAUACACGUACCAUAUGAUUCAAUAUUUACUCUCCUAGGGAUUCACCCUAAGAAAUGAAACCAUAUCUUUCCAAAAAAACUUGCAUCUAAAGGUUCAUAGUAGCCUUAUUUGCAGUAGCCUAAUGCUCUAAACAUUUCAAAUGCCCAUUUAGAAGUGAACUGAUGAAACAAAUUUAGUAUAACUAUAUAAUGGGAUACUAUUCAGCAAUACAAAGGAAUGAACUAUUGGUACAUGCAACAAUAUGCUUGAACCUCAAAAUAAUUAUGCUGAGUGAAAGAAGCCAGAUAAAAAAGGAUACAUGCUGCCUGCUUCCAUAUAUAAAAUUCUAGAAAAUGCAAAUUAAUCUAUAGGGGCAGAAAGCAGACAAUUGGUUGCCUAGGAACAGGGUGGGAUGAGAAGUGAGGCCGGAUUUACCAAGGGGCACAGAGAAGCUUUCGGGAAUGAUGGACAUGUUGGUUAUCUUGAUUGUAGCAGUAGUUUCAUGGGUGUAUACAUAUGUCAGAACUCAUCAAAUUGUGUUCUUUAAAUAUGUGCAGUUAAUUAUAUGCCAAUUAUAAUUCAAUAAAGCUUUUCAGAAAAAGAAGAAAGAUGGGGGGGAAAAUCUACUUUCUGCCAUCCUCAGGCAGCACAGGGUCAUGGCUAGAAUGUGGGCUCUGGGGGCUUCACUUAGACUGUGUGAGUUUCUAACUGAGUGACCUUGGCCUAAUCAUGUGAUCCACCUAAGCCUUGCUUUCCUCACCUGUGAAAUAGGGAUAAGAGUAAUGUUGUGAAGAUAGAUUACCUGGUAUUUGUAAAGUGCUUAAAACAGCAGCUAAGAAGGGUAAGUGUUGGUCACCACCCUUCCCCUCCCCCCCUUCCCAUCAUCAUCCUCUAUAAAGCUGCUAAUGGACACGCACAGUAGAGCUCAGCAUUCUGGUGAAUGGAUGGAGGGGAAUAGGUGAGAAGACAAGAAUUCAAGUCUAACUGGUACCCAGAAGUCCCACCACCCCUUGGUGAUGCCUUAAGGCAAACUCUAAGAGACCAGGUUUAGCCAGGUUAGAAACUGCAGGGGAAAUGUCACAAUGAAAUGCAUGAGCUUGCACAAUUCAUAUGUGCUAAUAAUUACUUUUUUAAAAAAGAAAGAAACUGCAGGGGAGAGAGAUAAGUGGAUAAAAGCUGGCGGGGUGGUGGUGGUGGGGGAAUGAAAAAUAAGGAUGACAUCUGACAGGCAGUAUGGGGACCCUUUCUGAAAUUCCCAACUUUCUAGCAAAUGCCUUGCUGUUGAAAUAAUCAAAUUGGAAAAUGGACUGUCCUCUGUCCUUUCAGCAUUCCAAGGCUUUCCAGUUAACCACCCCUCAUGGCUUAGUCUCUGCUCACCUUGGAUCUGGGGUGUCACUUGAGAAGAUCAGCACCUUCAGAGCUGGGUGACUGGAGUGAGCACUCAUUCAGUCCCUGACCCAGAUACAGCCAUAGGGCAACAGAAAUGCUGCUAGCAACGGGCUACUCAGGGUGAGGACAGGGAAAUCUACAGAGAAAAAGUGCAAGGCCUGGGUGAAAAUAUUGGACUGGUGGGGAUGGAAGGUGGGGAGAGGAGAUGGCUGCUUAGAAACUGAAGGAGCUUUUUUUCCGGAAUCCAUAAUGGGGUCACAUAAGCACAAAUUGAAAAAAUGAGGACUUAGCAAUUGGGGCCGUGGUGGGAUCCAGCUGGCCAGAAGCCUGGGGCCAGGCAAUUUCAUUCUCUAGGAGAGGUUUCUGUAGGAGCAAAACUGGGAAAAGAAAUGGAGAAAAAAAAUUAUUCAAAAUAACAUGCAGGUGAGCCAGGCCAGGGCCUGUUUCAGAGAGGGUUUGUGCCCAGGUUGAUGGUGCUGCUUGGUAGAGAGGUGUCUCAGCCUGAAAGCACAGUGAAGCUUAGCAGCUCAUGGCUCAAAAUCCAGCUCCACAGUUCUACUGGCCACAUGCCAUUUGCCCCACUCCCAUCUUUCUUAUGUGGCUCUCUGUAUAUCACCUGGGCUCUCCUUUACCUCUAGCUCCAGGAUGGAUUUGGCCAAUGGGAGGCAUGGAUGGUGGGCACAGGAAAGCAGGAGAAAAGAGAGGUUAGGGUAUUUCUUUUCUGUUCCCUCUUUCUUUGGGGUUUGAUCCUGUCUGUCACCAUGUUACUCCAUGACUCUAGGUCCACCCCUGUGGUUCCAGUUCUCACUCCUGACUUCGGUCAUAGUCUUUGCUUUCCUUGACCUGUUGGUGGUAAGAGCUUCCUGUUAGUCUCUGAGUACAUCUCCAGCUUUUGUUCCUUCUUGAACCUACCCUCAUCUCUCUGAGCAAAACCUCUUUAUCUGAACCAUAUUCAGAGGAUUCUAGUCCUUACCAGGUAGCUGCGUAGUAACCUGGGGCUAUCAACCUCGGGGCUCUGUUUUCUCAUUUAGAGUGGGGACACUGGGAGUCAGGUGAAUUCCAUGAGAUAAUGCACAAAUUAGCUACUGAUGGGAUCUCAGACAAUGUCUUAGCAGAGGGCCCUUGGAACAGUGGCACCAGGAUGCUGUAAGUCUCCUAAUCUCCUCUCUCUCCUCUCUGAGUCCUCUUCACCUUAGGUAAACCCUGUGCACUCAGAUUGACGAGAAGAAGAAGGACGUCCCUCCAACUUCUGGUCAUGCAGGCUGGGGAAGGCAGGAGGGCAUUGUGCCAGCCUAGCAUACUAACCGGCCCCUGGCAAAGGUCAGCCUGCCCGGAAUAAGGAACUACCCACAGCCAGGAAAGCUGCUGUUUUUCCCCACUGGGGGAGCACCAGGCCCUGGAGAGGCUGCCAUGAAGUGGGUGCCCUGUGAAGAUUCCAGACUCAGAGAAGACAGCCGGCAUCACCACAGGACUGAGAGCCAAAGUUGUGUCUUCUGCAGAGGAUUAUAUCGCCUAUGUGCCAGGUGACUAUUCAUAAAGCAGUCUUACCAACCUAGAUACUCUUCAACAGAUGAAUGGAUAAAGAAAAUGUGGAUUAUUACAAUGGAUUAUCACUCAGCCUUUAAACAGAAUAAAAUUAUGUCAUUGGAAGAAAAAUGGGUGGAAUUUGAGAACAUUAUGUUAAAUAAA